This 500-nucleotide ribosomal RNA is filed under the name uncultured bacterium. Its description in RNAcentral is "partial 16S ribosomal RNA". It matches the Rfam family "Bacterial small subunit ribosomal RNA", at positions 30 to 523 of the family's 1533-position model. The record is from RNAcentral.
AUUGAACGCUGGCGGAAUGCUUUACACAUGCAAGUCGAACGGCAGCACGGACUUCGGUCUGGUGGCGAGUGGCGAACGGGUGAGUAAUGUAUCGGAACGUGCCCAGGCGUGGGGGAUAACGUACUGAAAAUUACGCUAAUACCGCAUACGAUCUAUGGAUGAAAGCGGGGGAUACCAAGACCUCGCGUGAUUGGGGCGGCCGAUAUCAGAUUAGGUAGUUGGUGGGGUAAAGGCCCACCAAGCCAACGAUCUGUAGCUGGUCUGAGAGGACGACCAGCCACACUGGAACUGAGACACGGUCCAGACUCCUACGGGAGGCAGCAGUGGGGAAUUUUGGACAAUGGGCGAAAGCCUGAUCCAGCCAUUCCGCGUGCAGGAUGAAGGCCCUCGGGUUGUAAACUGCUUUUGUACAGAACGAAAAGGUUUCUACUAAUACUAGGAGCUCAUGACGGUACUGUAAGAAUAAGCACCGGCUAACUACGUGCCAGCCGCCGCCGUAA